AAUAAGAUCAUUUUUUAGUUUUUUGAUAUAAUAUUUUGACUUUUCAUCUUAUUUGAAACUUUUUUGUGAAUAAUAUUUUUAUUCUUACUAGAUGAUAAAAAUAUGAAUGUUACUUUAUGUGUGACUAACUUUUUUAAGUUUUUGUACAAUUUUUUCAAAUAAGACGAAUGGUCAAACGUUAGACACGGAAAAAC
Molecule: microRNA precursor, 194 nt
Filed under: Oryza brachyantha (malo sina)
Lineage: Eukaryota; Viridiplantae; Streptophyta; Magnoliopsida; Poales; Poaceae
Description: MIR812 microRNA precursor family
Rfam family: MIR812 microRNA precursor family
Source: Rfam by way of RNAcentral